AACUCUAAGAGAAAUUAAUUAAUGAACGAAGUGAAUUGAAAUAUCUUAAUAGCUUCAGGAAAAUAAAUCAAACGAGAUUCUAUUACUAAUGUGAAUAAAAGUAGAAAAGCUUAAACUAUUUUCCAAAACAAAUAAUUAAAAUGUUUUUAAUUUUGUUUGAAUUAAGGGGAACCUUCCUCUAAAGCUAAAUAUGGUUUAUAAGCGAUAGUGAAUUUAAGUACCGUGAGGGAAAUUAAUAAAUUAGUGGUUUUAUAAGCAGUUUAAGUUAAAUUAAAAUACGACUAAAACGUACCUUUUGCAUAAUGGGUCAGCAAGUUAAUUUUAGAUGCGAGCAUUUUAAAUAUGCCCAGAUAAACCAAUUAUGAAAUAAUGAUUGAGUGUCUAGAAUUAGACCCGAAGGCUAGUGAUCUUACUAUGAUCAGGGUUUUAAUAGCCCGCACGGUUUAUCGUUGCAAAGAUAUCCGAAGAAUUGUGGUAAGUAGGUGAAAGACAAUACUGACUAGUAUAGCUGGUUUUCCGCGAAACCUAUUUAAGUAGGUAGUUUAAUAUAUAUCUUAGCAGGUACAUAAUCGACUCUCUGACAAAACAUUUUAUAAGUUUUGUAUACAUCGGGGAAUUUGCGAAAAUUUUAUCGGUGGGUAGGCGUAAUCGAAAUGGCAAAGAUUUUAUUAAACAAUCAGACAUAAUAUGAUAAGGUAGUAUGUCUAAAGGGAAACAGCCCAAAACAAGAGUUAAUAAGGUUCCAAAAUUAUUAUUAAGUGAAAUAAAGGAAGUUGUUAUUUAAUACGGCCAGGGAAUAGGCUUAGAAGCGGCCAUUUUUUGAAGAUCUCGUAAUAGAGCACUGGUUAAUUGAGUUAAUUAAUUCAAUAAUAAAAAUAUAAUGGCGCCGAAAAUUUAACGGAUCUAAAUAAUAUACCGAAACCUUGUUCUUUUUAUAAAUAAUAUGAAUAAUUUUAAAUAUGUAGUGUUAUUAUAAAUAAGAGGUAGCGGAACGUUGGGUAAAUAUAAGAUUGUUUUUAUUUUAGAAAUGAAAUAAUAUAACCCAAGUGAUAAUGCUGACAUGAGUAACGAAAAAGGGCUAAUAGUCCUCGCCUUAAAUCUAUGACUAGUUAAUUGAAAGUAACGGCCUCUAAGUUUAUAAUCCUAAAGGAUUAGACGAUGAGAUAUAUCUAUUUUAUAUAGACAACCUUUUAAAUUAUUAUUAUGUAACUUUAACAACUAAAUUAAAAAAUUUGAAUUAAAUGAUAAAAUAGCUGUUUGUAGGUGUAAUCUUACAUAAAAUUAAUUAUAAGUAAUAAGUGUACAGGAAAUAUAUAUAUAUAUAUUAUAAUACCGUAUCUAGAAACUUUGAAAGUAGAUUAGUGUAGUAUACGAAGGCGAAUGAGUCAACAAUCAUUAAGGAACUCGGCAAACUAGCUUGCGUAACUUCGGGAUAAGCAGAGCCAUUCUUGUCUAAUAAUAUAGAUUAAGAAAAGGAGGCAUAGAAUAGUGUUGCACGACUGUUUAAUUAAAACAAAGCACUUUGCAAAAGACUUAAAGUCAAAGUAUUGAGUGUGAUGUCUGCCCUCUAUCGGCUGGUUAACAGAUUUACUUAGCUGUUUAAGUUAGGUUUUGCAGGAACCCCCGAUCAAUGGCGGUCUUAACUCUGAGGAUCCUAAGGUAGCGAAAUGCCUUGGCCGUUAAAUGCGGUCUUGCAUGAAUGAUUUCACGAUGCAACAGCUGUCUCAAUGAUUGACUCAGUGAAAUUGUAAUAAAGACCCUUUGCAGCUUUACUGUUGCUAUUUAUUGGAUAUAACUUUGCUAGUUUUAGAGGAUAAGGUAGUUGAUAAAACAUUAUUGAAACACCUUUACUUAGUUUGUUAUAUAAAUAGAAAUAAGGUAUAAUUGUAGAACUUUUAUAUCUUAAGUUUAUUAAACUAAUCCUAUUGGGAAACAAUUGGUAGUAGACAGUUUAUGCGGGGCACAGAUCCCAUAAAGAGUAACUGGGAAUGUCCAAAAUUAAUUCGUAUUUUUGCAUAAAGCAAUAAAAUAGUAAUUUACUAUUUUAUUUUUAAUUAAUUUGCAAUUAAUUGUUAAUAUUAAUAAUUAAUUCAACAUUGUUCUAUUGAGUUGGAAAUAUAUUUUUUAUUUUUGAAGUAAGAUUUUUACUAUAAGGAAAAUAGUUGCAACUAAAUCAAAUGUGUUACUCUAAAGUGACAAUGGUUUGCUUAAGGUUAAUUUUUAAAAGGAUUUCUUAAAAAUUAAUAAUUAGAUUUGCAUAAAAAGUUUAAUGGCUCAAUCUUGCUUUACUGUUUGACCUACAAGUCUUUCAGUCGCGUAAGCGGGGCAUAUGAUCACAAGAUGCAGAAAGGAAAGGUCUUGGAUUUUUGAAUAAAGCUACGCUAGGGAUAACAGGCUAAUUGCGCAAGAGAGUACAAAUUGGGAGUGCGCAGUUUGGCACCUCGAUGUCGGCUUGACUCAUCCACAUGAAUGCAAGAAGUAUGAAGGGUACGACUGUUCGUCGUUUAAUGAGUUACACGAGCUGGGUUAAAUACGUCGUGAGACAGUAUGGUUUCUAUCUUCUAGAGGAAUAUUAAAUAGAAUAGGGAUAGCCCCUUCGUACGAAAGGAGUUGGGUAUAUCAAUCUAUGGAUUACCUGUUGUU
This 2643-nucleotide ribosomal RNA is filed under the name Arthonia rubella. RNAcentral's name for it is "large subunit ribosomal RNA". It matches the Rfam family "Bacterial large subunit ribosomal RNA", at positions 161 to 2725 of the family's 2925-position model. Lineage: Eukaryota; Fungi; Ascomycota; Arthoniomycetes; Arthoniales; Arthoniaceae. The record is from RNAcentral.